UGGCUUUUAACCCGCCAGACCUUGAUUAUAUCCCUAUGAACAUUAUUAAUCAAUAAAGCAAGUGUGUUUAGACUGAAAAAAAAGGAGGGCUUCUUCCUCCUCGCGUUCACCCCAGGAGGCCGCCAUGGCGUACAGUGGCUGCAUCCCAACGCUUCCCUUCCCUUCCCCGCACCCACUAACCUCCAGAACCGGUUCCCCUCGCCUCCCACGACCCCUUCCCUUCAAUAGUGCGCCUUAAGGCACCCCCUAAUGGCCAUUAGAGCUCGAGGAAACUGCUGCUUUUACUGCAGCCAUUAACACCCACGACGCAGCUCGGUCUGGCCCUCCCCUGACCCUCUAUAAAAGCCUAGGACGCCGCCCAUAAUCUCCUCGUUCGAAGCCCUCUCCUUCGGGAGCAUAUCCCCCUCCUCAUCUCUAUAUAUUCCUCGCCGGAGUUCCGUCCUGCUACAGCCGUAUGCGCACAACCACGACGAGCACAAGUUUGGUUAGCGGAAGCACGCGCUCCAAGGCGUACGCGACCGACCGGAGCUCCUAACGAGUCCGGCGGCUUCCCCACCGCGCCCGAGGACGAGCCAGCCGCGUUGUUCCCCGGGUCCGCCCCGACCUCCUCUCCACCGUCCUCCACUCGCUGGUCUCCGGAGCCCGCCCAACACCGGAGCCCCGCGACGCCCUCACCACCACAGCCACCCGCCGCCUCGCCGGACUUCUUUUCCCGAUAUAUCGUAAAGUGAAGGAGUGACGAUAACGAAUAGAGAAUCAACUUCAAGAAUCAGGCAAGUUGCAACUUGAUCAUUCCUUGUCCUAUGUUUUUGUAAUAUGCAUGAAUUCUUUUAUUACUAUGCAUGUUUUAGUAAA
Long non-coding RNA from Aegilops tauschii subsp. strangulata, 855 nucleotides. RefSeq lists it as uncharacterized. The record is from RefSeq and is a predicted model, not a curated record. Lineage: Eukaryota; Viridiplantae; Streptophyta; Magnoliopsida; Poales; Poaceae.